UUGGAGGGCAAGUCUGGUGCCAGCAGCCGCGGUAAUUCCAGCUCCAAUAGCGUAUAUUAAAGUUGUUGCAGUUAAAAAGCUCGUAGUUGAAUUUCGGGAUUGACGUGAUGGUCAUGCCUUAAGGGGUAUGAACUGUUGCAGUUGAUUUCUCACCUUCUGGAGAAACUUGAUGUCCUUUAUUGGGUGUCUUGCGGAUCCAGGACCUUUACCUUGAAAAAAUUAGAGUGUUUAAAGCAGGCAUUUUUGCUCGAAUACAUUAGCAUGGAAUAAUAGAAUAGGACGGCAUGGUUCUAUUUUGUUGGUUUCUAGGAUCACCGUAAUGAUUAAUAGGGAUAGUUGGGGGCAUUAGUAUUCAAUUGUCAGAGGUGAAAUUCUUGGAUUUAUUGAAGACUAACUACUGCGAAAGCAUUUGCCAAGGAUGUUUUCAUUAAUCAAGAACGAAAGUUAGGGGAUCGAAGACGAUCAGAUACCGUCGUAGUCUUAACCAUAAACUAUGCCGACUAGGAAUCAGACGAUGUUAAUUUUUUAAUGACUCGUUUGGCACCUUACGGGAAACCAAAGUGUUUGGGUUC
Molecule: ribosomal RNA, 572 nt
Filed under: uncultured Glomeromycotina
Lineage: Eukaryota; Fungi; Glomeromycota
Description: SSU rRNA
Rfam family: Eukaryotic small subunit ribosomal RNA
Source: RNAcentral